CAACUACAUUUCAUGUAUCUGGGAAGAAGGCCAUAUUUAAAAUUUCUUGGCUAUUAUUUUGAGAAACUAGAGGAUUCCUAAGGCAAUCAGGUUAAAGAGUAGAUGAUCGGAAAAGGAGAGUUUUGGGAAAUUUAAAAAAAAAAAACACACACAGAAGGAAAGAAUUGGGGUACUUUUACAAGGGCAACUAAAAAUAUAAACUCCCUGACAAAUAUAGACUCUCUGAUAAAAAAAAGGAUAAAUUAUAUACAUACAUCUUUAAGAUAAUCAUUAUAUUUCUUUGUAUACUAUACUUGAAGUAACUGUAAGCGGUUCUCUCAAGGCUAGAUACAAGCAGUUAUGAUCAUUUUGUCACCUAAUAUUUGCCAGAUACUUUAAAAUUAUUCACUUGCAUUCUUCACAAUAUAGACCCAUAUGGAGAGAUGAAAAUGCUGAGUAACAUGUUACGAAAUACCACACUAGAGAUCAGCUGAAGGCUAAAAACCUAUGGUCUCUUCUUGAUAUAAGAACAUGUAGACUCAAAAAUAAUGGAAGACUGAGAGACAAAGGACAAUAUUUGAAAUAUGAAAAUGUGUUUAAAAUAAAACAAUAAGUCAAAAAAAGAUUUAAAAAAUCUAAUGAACAUAUAUGAGACCACGUUUGAAACCAAGGCUUUGCCUUGUAUAAGUUGCUUCUUAAACAAAAUUUCUUCUAAAAAGAGAAGGUUAACAUAAAUUUUCCCAAAGGUCUCUCCAAGCAUGAAACUGCAGAUUAAAGGAACCAUGCCAGUUGCUGCAACUCCAGACAGAGAGCGAAGGAAUCCUAUACGAGCCCCCUGGGUUUACAGAAGUCUAUCAAUCACCCUGUCGGUCUUCCGGGUCAUUAUUCAAGUUGCUAUACCCAAUUUUGCUGGAUAUAUCAGAUCAAGUCCAGCUCCAUAGAUGGACAGUGUGUUUUCUUCCUAUUUUUAAAAACAGAAAGGUGGAAAAUUAGUGAAUAUUAUGAGGACACAUGGGA
This 996-nucleotide long non-coding RNA is filed under the name Capra hircus (goat). RNAcentral's name for it is "lncRNA (ENSCHIG00000007450.1)". Lineage: Eukaryota; Metazoa; Chordata; Mammalia; Artiodactyla; Bovidae. The record is from RNAcentral.